RNAcentral lists this ribosomal RNA (500 nucleotides) under uncultured bacterium. RNAcentral's name for it is "partial 16S ribosomal RNA". It matches the Rfam family "Bacterial small subunit ribosomal RNA", at positions 29 to 523 of the family's 1533-position model. The record is from RNAcentral.
AUUGAACGCUGGCGGCAUGCCUUACACAUGCAAGUCGAACGGCAGCACGGGAGCAAUCCUGGUGGCGAGUGGCGAACGGGUGAGUAAAGUAUCGGAACGUGCACAGUCGUGGGGGAGAACGUAGCGAAAGUUACGCAAAUAACGCAUACGAUCUAUGGAGGAACGCGGGGGAUCGCAAGACCUAGCCCGAAUGGAGCGGCCGAUAUCAGAGUGGGGUGUUGGUGGGGUAAAGGCUCACCAAGCCGACGAUCGGUAGCUGGUCUGAUAGUGCUACCAGCCACACUGGAACUGAGACACGGCCCAGACUCCUACGGGGGGCAGCAGUGGGGAAUUUUGGACAAUGGGCGGAAGCCCGAUCCAGCCAUGCCGCGAGCAGGAUGAAGGCCUUCGGGUUGUAAACUGCUUUUGUACGGAACGAAAAGGUUUGGCCUAAUAAGCUGAGCUCAUGACGGUACCGUAAGAAUAAGCACCGGCUAACUACGUUCCAGCAGCCGCCGUAA